This 2105-nucleotide ribosomal RNA is filed under the name Clostridioides difficile. RNAcentral describes it as "partial 23S ribosomal RNA". It matches the Rfam family "Bacterial large subunit ribosomal RNA", at positions 1 to 2129 of the family's 2925-position model. The record is from RNAcentral. Lineage: Bacteria; Bacillati; Bacillota; Clostridia; Peptostreptococcales; Peptostreptococcaceae.
GGUCAAGUUAUUAAGGGUGCAGGGCGGAUGCCUUGGCACUAGGAGCCGAUGAAGGACGUGAUAAGCUGCGAUAAGCUUCGGGGAGUUGCACGUAAACUUUGAUCCGAAGAUUUCCGAAUGAGGAAACUCACUUAGAGUAAUGUCUAAGUAUCAUUAAGUGAAUACAUAGCUUAAUGAGGGGAACUCAGGGAACUGAAACAUCUAAGUACCUGAAGGAAGAGAAAGAAAUUCGAUUCCGUAAGUAGCGGCGAGCGAACGCGGAUUAGCCCAAACCAAUAAAGUUUUCUUUAUUGGGGUUGCGGACAUAUCAUAACGAAGAGGUAUCGUAAUUGAAGAGGUUUGGAAAGACCCACCACAGAAGGUAAUAGUCCUGUAUGUUAAACGAGAAGACUUCAGAUAUGAUCCAGAGUACCACGGGACACGUGAAACCCUGUGGGAAGCAGGAGGGACCACCCUCCAAGGCUAAAUACUACCUAGUGACCGAUAGCGUAUAGUACCGUGAGGGAAAGGUGAAAAGAACCCCGGGAGGGGAGUGAAAUAGAACCUGAAACCCUGCACUUACAAGCUGUGGAAGCACAUUUCUUGUGUGACCGCGUACUUUUUGUAGAACGGGCCAACGAGUUACGUUAAGUAGCAAGGUUAAGCACUUAAGGUGCGGAGCCGUAGCGAAAGCGAGUUUUAACUGAGCGUUCAGUUACUUGACGUAGACCCGAAACCGGGCGACCUACCCAUGAGCAGGAUGAAGCGAAAGUAAAAUUUCGUGGAGGUCCGAACCCACGAGCGUUGAAAAGCUCGGGGAUGACUUGUGGGUAGCGGUGAAAUUCCAAUCGAGCCCGGAGAUAGCUGGUUCUCCCCGAAAUAGCUUUAGGGCUAGCCUCAAGGUGAGAGAUACGGAGGUAGAGCACUGAAUGUCCUAGGGGGUAUUGCACCUACCGAAGACUAUCAAACUCCGAAUGCCGUCAUCUUAUACUUGGGAGUCAGACUGUGGGUGAUAAGAUUCAUAGUCGAAAGGGCAACAGCCCAGAUCGUCAGCUAAGGUCCCUAAAUGUAAGUUAAGUGGUAAAGGAUGUGGGAUUGCACAGACAACCAGGAUGUUGGCUUAGAAGCAGCCACUCAUUCAAAGAGUGCGUAAUAGCUCACUGGUCGAGUGAUCCUGCGCCGAAGAUUUCCGGGGCUAAAACUUACUACCGAAGCUACGGCAUCAGUAAUGAUGGGUAGGGGAGCUUCCCAUACGGGUUGAAGCAUGACCGUAAGGACAUGUGGACAGUAUGGGAGUGAGAAUGUUGGCAUGAGUAGCGAGAUGUGGGUGAGAAUCCCACAGGCCGUAAACCCAAGGUUUCCAGGGGAAGGUUCGUCCGCCCUGGGUUAGUCGGGACCUAAGCUGAGGCCGAAAGGCGUAGGUGAUGGACAACAGGUUGAUAUUCCUGUACUACCGAUAACCGUUUGAGAGAAGGGAUGACACAGUAGGAUAAGCUAAGCACACUGUUGGUUAUGUGUGCCCAAGCAUUGAGGCAGUCAAAGUAGGCAAAUCCGCUUUGAUAAUGCUGGGAUGUGAUGGGGAGCGAAAUUUAGUAGCGAAGUAGCUGAUUUCACACUGUCAAGAAAAGUCUCUAUCGAGGUUAAAGGUACCCGUACCGCAAACCGACACAGGUGGGUGAGGAGAGUAUCCUAAGGCCAGCGAGAGAACUGUUGUUAAGGAACUCGGCAAAAUGACCCCGUAACUUAGGGAUAAGGGGUGCCACCAUCAGGUGGCCGCAGAGAAUAGGCCCAAGCGACUGUUUACCAAAAACAUAGGUUUCUGCUAAGUCGCAAGACGAUGUAUAGGAGCUGACGCCUGCCCGGUGCUGGAAGGUUAAGGGGAUCUGUUAGAGCAAUCGAAGCAGUGAACUUAAGCCCCAGUAAACGGCGGCCGUAACUAUAACGGUCCUAAGGUAGCGAAAUUCCUUGUCGGGUAAGUUCCGACCCGCACGAAAGGCGUAACGAUUUGGGCACUGUCUCAACAACAGACUCGGUGAAAUUGUAAUUCCGGUGAAGAUGCCGGAUACCUGCGACAGGACGGAAAGACCCCAUGGAGCUUUACUGUAGCUUGACAUUGGGUCUUGGUA